Long non-coding RNA from Marmota flaviventris (yellow-bellied marmot), 1611 nucleotides. RefSeq lists it as uncharacterized. Lineage: Eukaryota; Metazoa; Chordata; Mammalia; Rodentia; Sciuridae. The record is from RefSeq and is a predicted model, not a curated record.
GCCUCACAUUUUAGGCAGCUGCUCUACACUGAGCCCCAGCCCCAGGCCCAAUUUAAAGGAAGAUGUGCAACAAGUUGGUUGCUAGUCCACCCAAGAGUUUUUUUCCUGUAGUAAAAGCAGCCAGUAACAGCCAGAUACUGUGGUGGACAUUCAGCACCAUGUGAUUGGAAAAUGGCAACGGAGGAAAAGCAAGGAGCUGCAGGAAAGCAAGUGGCCCCUCAGUGCGCCUUCUGCAGCCGCUGAGUAGCCCCCUCAGCUCUCCAUGGUGACACAUCAGUCAUCUGUCUUCAGAGCACACCUCAGAGGGGUCUGCCUCCGAGGAUUUGCAGGUUGGAAGGCACCGUGCAGCCAGUGUCUGCACCCCUGUUGGUGUCUCUGCUGAGCCUCCUGCUCAAUCCUUUCCUGCAGGAUUCUCUCCAGGAGCCCCGAGUUCCACCCUGUGGGGUGUUAUGAGCCACAGCUUCCACUCCAGCUUGAGGCAAACAACAGACCUUGGUGCCCUUCAUCACAGGCUUCCAUUAGUGCUGAGAAGUCUGUUGAAAGUGGGUCCCCAACCAGGUGAGCCCCUCAGAGUGGGCACGCUGCCUGAAGGUUAGAGCCAGAGCAGGGUCUCCAACUGCUCCUCCUUUGGCAACUCCUGCAAACCAAAACCUUGAGCCCCACAGAGCCCACCCAAUCCCACUGCCCUGUGAUUGCAUCAAGUGACUGGUCUUAAGCUGAAAGUAAGGACUCUUGUGUAAACUACUGAAUGAAUCCAGACCACUUUUUUUUUUCCCCCGAAGUUCAUAUGAUUCCAUGGUGAAUUUCUUUGCUAUGAAAUCCAGAGUUUUCUUCUUUCAGAAUGGUUUAUCUUGGGUUUCAAAAAGACAUGUUAUGAAACCCUCCAUGUAGAAUGAAAUAUCUGUUACGCUCCCGAAGCUUCUCAAGAGCAGGUUGGUGUGAGACCCACAUGCCUGGCAGAGAUGCCACCCGCACCAGGAGCCCGCUCUGCGCCCAGGCGUUACAGACUGCGGUGUUGCUGUUGCAAAGUUCAGGAAGUCCCACCCUCCCUCAGGCUCAAGAACUCCCAGCAGGGCUCACCAAGGUUGACAGAAGGUAGAGCCGUGAACGUCUGUCUUCAGUUCUCACCACCACAGAAAACUGACCCCUCCCCACGUCCAGACAUAGAACGAACAGGUGACAUGGACCAGAACCUAAGUGGCCAGGCACAUCCUACAGCUACAGACGAAACUCAAAACAGAUAACACUGCUCGCCAAAUCCACCUGCAGCAUUUAUGAAAACUGGUCAUAUACCAGGCCACAAAAAUCCAAAAUUCCAGAACAAUACAGCAGCACUCUGACUGCAGUAAAACUGAAAGUUAAGAGGGAAAAAAAAAGCAGCACAAACAGACCAAGAUAGACUGCUGAAGAAUACUGGAGAUAGAUAGGAAGAGGUUGAGGAACUGUUCCAGACCAAAGGAGGUGGCUGUGACAUGACAACUCACUGCAAUGCCAUUCUUGGAGAGAACUGGACCAGAAAGGAAGAGACCAGCAAAAGUGGGUGAGGUUGGGCUGGGGCUGGGGCUCAGUGGUAGAGCGCUCACCUCGCAUGUACGAAGCACUGGGUUCGAU